CCCAGAAAGAAAUCGCCUUGUGGUUCCCUGAUGGCCCUAUUAACUGGCAGAGCAGCCUUCACCCUUGGAUCUAUGAGUAAACUAAUGUUUGGUUGAGGAGCCUAAUUGUUCCUGCAGUUAGACUUAUCCCUAUCCCUAUCCCUAUUUCCUUAUUUAUGGUUACUCCUUGUUGGUGAACUGUUAUGAAGUAUUGAGUUAAAUUGAGACCAAUCCUGGUUAUGUUGGCUGCUUUCAUUCUUGUGGUUGCCAUAUACAAUAUUUAAGCUUUUUUGUUGACUGUAUUAUGAAUUGAGUUUGUUAAUGGUUAGCACA
This 312-nucleotide long non-coding RNA is filed under the name Citrus sinensis (sweet orange). Its description in RNAcentral is "long non-coding RNA (CSIN_LNC000036)". The record is from RNAcentral. Lineage: Eukaryota; Viridiplantae; Streptophyta; Magnoliopsida; Sapindales; Rutaceae.